RNAcentral lists this ribosomal RNA (102 nucleotides) under uncultured bacterium. RNAcentral describes it as "partial 16S ribosomal RNA". It matches the Rfam family "Bacterial small subunit ribosomal RNA", at positions 355 to 456 of the family's 1533-position model. The record is from RNAcentral.
UGGGGAAUAUUGCACAAUGGAGGAAACUCUGAUGCAGCGACGCCGCGUGAGUGAAGAAGUAUUUCGGUAUGUAAAGCUCUAUCAGCAGGGAAGAAAAAUGAC